ACUCAAGAAGUCUAACUACGCUGCAAUGCCGAAUGGGGCAUUACCACAUUUACCAUGUGUCAAAGUGCUGGCGUAUAUUAUGAACCAUUAAACCUCACCAGGCGAAGCACAAACAUCAUGUCACGGGAUUACGGGCAUCGGAUAGGUCGGCGCAAGCCCUAAUUAGAACGCGGGAGCCGCCCAUCCAGGUGCUGCCGUCAGCGGGGUGGCUUGCACUUCAGCGGCACUCCCGAUGCGUCAAGGAUGUGACCGAAAGAUGUGAACUAUGCUUGAUCAGGUCGAAGCUCAGGAAACCCUUGAUGAAGGACCGAAGCAAUCCUGACGUGGCAAAUCGAUUUGUCAAGUUUUUUUGAGCAUCAGGGGCGAAAGGACCAAUUCGAACAGCUAGUACUGGUCCGCCAUCCGAAGUUUCCCUCAGGAUAGUCUGACAGUAGGCAUUCUCGAGCCUUAUCUUAUCUUGGUAAAGCGAAUGAUUUUUUAGAGCCUUUAGGUUCGAAAUGAUCUUAACCUAUCUCAAACUAUACAAUGGUACGAUUGGUUGCAUAUCUUUGAUGAUAAGCAACCCUCUCUACAACCAAGACAAUCGGGCGGGGCAACCACGCCCGCUCGGUUAGAUAUUGGUGUGCUUAGUGGCCAGUUUUGGUAAUCAGAAUUGGUGCUUGUGGGAUGAACGCCAAACGUGAUGUACGGCGCCUAAAUAAACGACCAUCAUAGAUACCAUGUAAGGUGUUGAUCUGCUAAAACAGCAGACGGUGGACAUGGAAGUCGUCAUCUCGCCAUAAGGAUGUGUAUACAAUCACUUGGUCUGCCGAAGCAAUUUAGCCCUUAAAAUGAAUGGGGCUCAAGAUCGUUUGCUCCUAUACAUUCGCCGCUAAGCGGCAUAGCGCAUCGAGGUGCCUGACGCCAACCUUGCGAAUGAAAGCCCUAGUGAGUAGAGCGCACCGUGGUGUGGCGCACAGUGCUCGAGCGGACCGGCGAUGGAGCCCGCGCCACGUGGCACAGAUUUGGUAUUCUAUACAAAUAUUCGAAUGAGCUCUUGAUGACUGAAGUGGAGAAGGGUUUACGUGUCAACAGCAGUUGAACACGAGUUAGCCAAUCCUUAAGCCGCAUGUGGAACCCUGGUCCACACCUCCAAUACGAUGCUGGGAAAGUGAAUCCGUUACCAUCCGGAGCCCCGCCUUUGAGUACCGUCUUCUUGUGCGCGCAUGCGUAGGCAUUCGUCACUCGUCGUAUGUGUUUGGCUUGCCGUCGUGGUUACUUCAUUGGCAACAUGAAUCCUUUUCUUCGAGAACCAACGAGGGGCAUGUUCGGGAAGAGUUUUUCUUUCCUGUCUUUACAGCACCAACCUGCCAUGGAAGUCACUCACAGAGAGAUAUGUUGGGACGCGCUGGUAGAUCACGGCGUCGCCACUUGCCCGUGUCGAUGCACUCUUCUUUGACCAUGAAAAUCGAAGACUGGGGGCUAGCACUGCCAUUUGUUGAUGCUUAGUAACGUUUUACACACAACCAACCCGUUUGUAAGAUAUGCACAUCUCAAAACAGCUUGUACGAAUUCCGCAGUCAGGUCUCCCAAGGUGCAGAGUCCUCAUC
This 1589-nucleotide ribosomal RNA is filed under the name Anopheles funestus (African malaria mosquito). Its description in RNAcentral is "eukaryotic large subunit ribosomal RNA". The stretch from base 237 to 1589 matches the Rfam family "Eukaryotic large subunit ribosomal RNA", at positions 665 to 1888 of the family's 3401-position model. Lineage: Eukaryota; Metazoa; Arthropoda; Insecta; Diptera; Culicidae. The record is from RNAcentral.